This 569-nucleotide ribosomal RNA is filed under the name Aclodes cameronae. RNAcentral's name for it is "bacterial SSU rRNA". It matches the Rfam family "Eukaryotic small subunit ribosomal RNA", at positions 24 to 573 of the family's 1831-position model. The record is from RNAcentral. Lineage: Eukaryota; Metazoa; Arthropoda; Insecta; Orthoptera; Phalangopsidae.
UCAUAUGCUUGUCUCAAAGAUUAAGCCAUGCACGUCUAAGUGCAAGCCGCAUUAAGGUGAAACCGCGAACGGCUCAUUAAAUCAGUUAUGGUUCCUUGGACGUGCCACAGUUACAUGGAUAACUGUGGUAAUUCUAGAGCUAAUACAUGCCACGAGAGUCCCGACCGGAGACGGGAAGGACGCUUUUAUUAGAUCAAAGCCAAUCGGCCGGCGGGUAAAACCGCCGCGCCGUACGCCUUGGUGACUCUGAAUAACACGUUCGAUCGCACGGUCUCGCACCGGCGACGGAUCCUUCAAAUGUCUGCCUUAUCAACUGUCGAUGGUACGCUCCGCGCUUACCAUGGUCGUAACGGGUAACGGGGAAUCAGGGUUCGAUUCCGGAGAGGGAGCCUGAGAAACGGCUACCACAUCCAAGGAAGGCAGCAGGCGCGCAAAUUACCCACUCCCGGCACGGGGAGGUAGUGACGAAAAAUAACGAUACGGGACUCAUCCGAGGCCCCGUAAUCGGAAUGAGAACACUUUAAAUCCUUUAACGAGUACCCAUUGGAGGGCAAGUCUGGUGCCAGCAG